AUUGAACGCUGGCGGCAGGCCUAACACAUGCAAGUCGAGCGGAGCGGCGGAAGGGUGAGUAAUGUCUGGGAAACUGCCUGAUGGAGGGGGAUAACUACUGGAAACGGUAGCUAAUACCGCAUACAAUCAGAUGAGCCUAGGGCGGAUUAGCUAGGUGGGGGGGUAAAGGCCUACAAAGGCGACGAUCCGUAACUGGUCUGAGAGGAGGAUCAGUCACACUGGAACUUAGACACGGUCCAUACUCCUACGGGAGGCAGCAGUGGGGAAUAUUGGACAAUGGGCGAAAGCCUGAUCCAGCCAUGCCGCGUGUGUGAAGAAGGUCUUCGGAUUGUAAAGCACUUUAAGUUGGGAGGCGUUACCAACAGAAUAAGCACCGGCUAACUUCGUGCCAGCAGCCGCGGUAAUAC
Molecule: ribosomal RNA, 407 nt
Filed under: uncultured bacterium
Lineage: Bacteria
Description: partial 16S ribosomal RNA
Rfam family: Bacterial small subunit ribosomal RNA
Source: RNAcentral